GCUAAUACCGGAUAACAUGUUGAACCGCAUGGUUCAACAGUGAAAGACGGUCUUGCUGUCACUUAUAGAUGGAUCCGCGCCGCAUUAGCUAGUUGGUAAGGUAACGGCUUACCAAGGCAACGAUGCGUAGCCGACCUGAGAGGGUGAUCGGCCACACGGGAACUGAGACACGGUCCAG
This 178-nucleotide ribosomal RNA is filed under the name uncultured Staphylococcus sp. Its description in RNAcentral is "partial 16S ribosomal RNA". It matches the Rfam family "Bacterial small subunit ribosomal RNA", at positions 162 to 334 of the family's 1533-position model. Lineage: Bacteria; Bacillati; Bacillota; Bacilli; Caryophanales; Staphylococcaceae. The record is from RNAcentral.